Molecule: ribosomal RNA, 464 nt
Filed under: uncultured bacterium
Lineage: Bacteria
Description: partial 16S ribosomal RNA
Rfam family: Bacterial small subunit ribosomal RNA
Source: RNAcentral
ACGAACGCUGGCGGCGUGCUUAACACAUGCCAGUCGUACGGUAAGGCCCUUUCGGGGGUACACGAGUGGCGAACGGGUGAGUAACACGUGAGUAACCUGCCCACAACUUUGGGAUAACGCUAGGAAACUGGUGCUAAUACUGGAUAUGUGCUCCUGCUGCAUGGUGGGGGUUGGAAAGCUCCGGCGGUAGUGGAUGGACUCGCGGCCUAUCAGCUUGUUGGUGGGGUAGUGGCCUACCAAGGCGGCGACGGGUAGCCGGCCUGAGAGGGUGACCGGCCACAUUGGGACUGAGAUACGGCCCAGACUCCUACGGGAGGCAGCAGUGGGGAAUAUUGCACAAUGGGCGCAAGCCUGAUGCAGCAACGCCGCGUGCGGGAUGACGGCCUUCGGGUUGUAAACCGCUUUCAGCAGGGACGAAGCUUUUUGUGACGGUACCUGCAGAAGAAGCACCGGCUAACUACGUG